UACGUAGGGGGCAAGCGUUAUCCGGAUUUACUGGGUGUAAAGGGAGCGUAGACGGUGGUGUAAGUCAGAUGUGAAAACCCAGGGCUCAACCCUGGGACUGCAUUUGAAACUAUGCCACUAGAGUGCAGGAGAGGUAAGUGGAAUUCCUAGUGUAGCGGUGAAAUGCGUAGAUAUUAGGAGGAACACCAGUGGCGAAGGCGGCUUACUGGACUGUAACUGACGUUGAGGCUCGAAAGCGUGGGGAGCAAACAGG
This 253-nucleotide ribosomal RNA is filed under the name uncultured bacterium. RNAcentral describes it as "partial 16S ribosomal RNA". It matches the Rfam family "Bacterial small subunit ribosomal RNA", at positions 524 to 776 of the family's 1533-position model. The record is from RNAcentral.